Molecule: ribosomal RNA, 425 nt
Filed under: uncultured bacterium
Lineage: Bacteria
Description: partial 16S ribosomal RNA
Rfam family: Bacterial small subunit ribosomal RNA
Source: RNAcentral
GUGGGGAAUCUUGCGCAAUGGGCGAAAGCCUGACGCAGCCAUGCCGCGUGAAUGAUGAAGGUCUUAGGAUUGUAAAAUUCUUUCACCGGGGACGAUAAUGACGGUACCCGGAGAAGAAGCUCCGGCUAACUUCGUGCCAGCAGCCGCGGUAAUACGAAGGGGGCUAGCGUUGCUCGGAAUUACUGGGCGUAAAGGGCGCGUAGGCGGACAGCUUAGUCAGAGGUGAAAGCCCAGGGCUCAACCUUGGAAUUGCCUUUGAGACUGGCUGUAUUGGGUUUGGGAGAGGUGAGUGGAAAUCCGAGUGUAGAGGUGAAAUUCGUAGAUAUUCGGAAGAACACCAGUGGCGAAGGCGACUCACUGGCCCAAUACUGACGCUGAGGCGCGAAAGCGUGGGGAGCAAACAGGAUUAGAUACCCUUGUAGUCC